This 565-nucleotide ribosomal RNA is filed under the name Dothiorella gregaria. Its description in RNAcentral is "eukaryotic LSU rRNA". The stretch from base 192 to 345 matches the Rfam family "5.8S ribosomal RNA". Lineage: Eukaryota; Fungi; Ascomycota; Dothideomycetes; Botryosphaeriales; Botryosphaeriaceae. The record is from RNAcentral.
GGGGGGUUCUUUCCGAGGUGGUUCGGGCUCGGCCCGAUCCUCCCACCCUUUGUGUACCUACCUCUGUUGCUUUGGCGGGCCGCGGUCCUCCGCGGCCGCCCCCCUCCCCGGGGGGGUGGCCAGCGCCCGCCAGAGGACCAUCAAACUCCAGUCAGUAAACGAUGCAGUCUGAAAAACAUUUAAUAAACUAAAACUUUCAACAACGGAUCUCUUGGUUCUGGCAUCGAUGAAGAACGCAGCGAAAUGCGAUAAGUAAUGUGAAUUGCAGAAUUCAGUGAAUCAUCGAAUCUUUGAACGCACAUUGCGCCCUUUGGUAUUCCGAAGGGCAUGCCUGUUCGAGCGUCAUUACAACCCUCAAGCUCUGCUUGGUAUUGGGCACCGUCCUUUGCGGGCGCGCCUCAAAGACCUCGGCGGUGGCGUCUUGCCUCAAGCGUAGUAGAACAUACAUCUCGCUUCGGAGCGCAGGGCGUCGCCCGCCGGACGAACCUUCUGAACUUUUCUCAAGGUUGACCUCGGAUCAGGUAGGGAUACCCRYUKWWYUUWAGCAUAUCAAUAAGCGGAGGAA